CACCAGCACCCGUUCCCCAUCCCCAAUUCCUCCCCCUCUUCCUUCUCUGGACGACCUCCCCCGCAGACGCAGCCGCCGCCGCACAGCCUGCGCCUCCACCCAUUCUCUCCUCCCCUCCACCGCCAACCUCCUCCCAUUCCUCUCUCCCAGAUUGAGCAGCAGGUCCGGAUCAAUGGCCACGGUGGCGUGAGCGCCACGAUGCAUCACGGCCACGCAAGGAGGAAGCUCGAUGUGGAUCUGACCCUGGUGCCGACACCAUGAACAAGUCCUCGAUGCGGCCACCACGCAGCUGAUGGCUGCUGGAAAGCUGCGAGGAAGUCGCCGGCCAGACGAGGGCAAGGGCGCCGAGGAGGUUCUCCAGCCGGACGAGGGCAAGGGCCCGAUCUCCCUCAUGUUCCCAACCAUUGACCAGAUCUUCACCACCUCAGAUACACUGUCUCUUCCCCAUGGGCCCGCUCAUGCAUGGUGAAGACCCCCUGCUCCGAGGUGGUGCCGUGGUCAAGAGGAGAAGCACAGAAUAUGGAUGGAGGAUGGGGAAUACAUGCAGAAGGCGGAAGCUCCAUGCUCAGCUCAGCUCUCAACUACACUGCUCUAAGACUACUUGGUGAGAAUGUCGAUGAUGAGCAAGAUAUGUCCGUGCCAAAAACAAGGAAAUGGAUACAUGACCAUGGUGGUGCAAUGAUGAUAAAACUGGAAGCAAGAUGCUUGGAUUUUUUGACAGGUCAGGUGUAAACCCUACCCCCCAGAAUUGUUCCUUCUGCCAUCCUUGGUUCCUAUUCAACUAGGUACGCAGAGUCGGUGUGGGACUAUUCGAGCUUGUGCCUGCAAAACUCUACUGAUGGAUGAUUUCUGCCAUGUUUUUUAUUCAUUUUCAUGUGGAAGUAUUUGAUAUAUCCUGGGUAUGGAUGGUUUGUUCGAAGAAUGUUCCAGAAUUUGUGAAUCUUACUGUACAACAAUCAACACGAAUGCUGAAACAUUGAUUCUUGCUGAAGAGCGGCCACGCCAUGCACCAGCGAGAUCCGUGUGUGGAGUGCAGUUGAGCAAGAGUCGAUUCUAGGCGAGGUGUGUCACAUUGGUCUUCUGCUUCUCGCCGUCUAGCCUCACCGCCAAGCGGCCAGAUCCACACGAGGUGGAUGCCCCACGCAGGGCCCUCUCCCCUCCUUCCUCUCUUGUUUCCUCCAACUACCAUGUCUUCUUACCUUGUUCUAUUGUUUUUUCACCCAUGGGGAUAAAGAUGAGUUAAGGUUGUAACAUCCAUACUAAUUUGUUGGUUUGUCUCAACCAGUGAUCCAAAGUAAACCUAUGAACAUGAAUUUUUUGGGUAUACAUUGUCUCCUCCUCUGCCAAUUGAUUUUCUUCAGAUUAGUUGUAUCAUAAUUUUCAAGAAGAUUGCAAACCUAGCAAUGAAUGAGACUAUCAUCAGGAUUUAAGAUAGUUUAAUAUUAUAAUUAUUUCUUUUGAAGUUUCACUGUUUAUGUAGGUGACAAUGCUAGAUACAUCUGUAUCAUGGCACUUCUCCAGCAAACAAAAGCUUGGUGGCCAUCUACUUUACUUCCAGAGAGUUUGAAAACGUACUAUCACGCUAAUAUUUAGUAGAAAUGUAUGACAAAAAAAUAGUUAGAUGGUAUUACUAUGUAUACAUGUAUACCCAAAAAUAGCUUUACAGGUCUGCUGUUGCUUUAAUAUGUUGUAGUUUCUCUGUACAUUCUUAUGCUAGAUUUUGUUGUUCCCAUGUGACAUACUUCUAAAAUUCAGGUCCUUUGAACAUAUCAGCUUUUCUCACUUAUUCAGAUUAAUGCUAAGUGUUUUUUCUCUUGUAUACUGAUCUACAAAAUUACAAUUGAGAUAUUUUCCUCCUCUAUUUUUCUUCUUGUCACCGUAGCAGCUCUUAAUUCCUUUUGAGGUCCACCAAGAUAAUGCAAUAAUCCCUGGAAAAUAUGUUCUGUACUUAAAUAGACAUCAGACUGAAGAAUAGAAGGGUUGGAUGCAAGUAUUUUCAUAGUUGAUCUCCCUUUUGUCAUCUUUUCUGGCUUUUAUUCCACUACUCCCCAGUCAUGCAUGAAUGCUAAUACAUCAGAUUUAUGCAGUCAAAAUGUUUGACUAUUCAAUUAUACAUGUCAUGCUGCAGUGCUUACUUUCUUACCCCCUUCAGUAAGUGCUGCAAGACCAAACAUCGUUUUACACAUUUGUUUUUGUAAUGAUAGCAUUGACUUUGUUUUUUUCUGCUGCUUACUGAUGCAGAACCUGAGUUGCGGGUUACCGAACCUGAUGAAAACGGAAGUCACUCCGGCAGAGAUGUAGUGUUGUGCCAAUUUGAGGUUGAUGGGGUUAAUGAGGAAAAGGAUUAUGAACUAUGUGUAGAAAUUACCCAGUAUUGCUAUGCCAAGAAAGCAAGAUAGUCGAUGGUGGCAAGAAGCCAUGAACCAUCACUCUGCUAUUACUGAACAAGAUGAUAUCUAUUUGGGUAAGUUUAGAGUUGGAAAUGUUUAUAUUCUAUUAAAGGUUUAUCUCUAGAACAUUUAUUUUGUCAAGAGAUGAGCCCUUGCAGGUUCUGAAUAUGUACGUGGAUGAUCUUCAAAUACCUAGAUGAUCAUUCUUUAUAUACCUGGAUAAUUAUUCCGCAUAAA
Aegilops tauschii subsp. strangulata is the source of this 2627-nucleotide non-coding RNA. Lineage: Eukaryota; Viridiplantae; Streptophyta; Magnoliopsida; Poales; Poaceae. The record is from RefSeq and is a predicted model, not a curated record.